Long non-coding RNA from Mugil cephalus (flathead mullet), 1826 nucleotides. RefSeq lists it as uncharacterized. The record is from RefSeq and is a predicted model, not a curated record. NCBI's taxonomy places the organism in Eukaryota, Metazoa, Chordata, Actinopteri, Mugiliformes, Mugilidae. The transcript has 2 exons.
AUUCAGGAGUGAAGCAGCUUCUUGAUCUUGUGAAGAGUCCAGACUAUAAACUGGAGACUCUGUAGUGAAAGAUCUUAUAAACAGGAGGGUGUGUGAUGUGAGAGGAUGAGCUGUGUCCUGAUGAUCCAGAGGUUGAAGCAGACUCUGACUGGACCAUGUUACUGGGAGGUGGAGAGGAGAGCUUCAUCCACAUGGUAUCCAUUUAAGACCAUCAACAGAGCUGCACUUCAACUCUUCACAGAUCUCCAACAAAUUAAGUCCAGUCCCUCAUCAAUGAUUCAGACACAUCCAUCAACAACAUGUCAACCUGCCAGAAUCAACAGUCCUUCCUGUUGUUGUGGAGAUGUUUCUUCCAACUACAUUCUAAUGUCUGUCUUCUCUUGUCUCUGUAGACACAGGAGAUUCCACAUGUUUUUCCUCCUGUUUCAUCCACAUAUUUGUUUGAAUGGAGCAGGAGCUGGAGUGAGCAGCAGUCUGCUUUAUCUGUCACUGAUUAUUGAUUGGAUUAGUCAGAUUGUCAGUGACGGUGUUGAUGGAUGUUUGGCUUUGGUCUGCUUUAUUCUGCUUUAUAUUAUGGUUGGUUACAGGAACUUUACAUCCUGAAAACUACACGUAAGAGCUCAUUAUCCUUCAGAGAACAUCACAGUAAUGUUCACAGAUCUAUAUGAUAAGCACUGCCCUCUUAAACAGCAUAACACAAAUAGCCAUUAUAGAGAAAAGACAUGGAUGACCAAGGGGCUUCAGAAUGCCUGUAAAAAAAGAACUGCUUGUAGAGACUGUUUAUGAAAUAAAAUGAAAGAGGCAGAGUUUAAAUAUAAGUAAAACUAUUGCUUAAGUAUAAAAAUAACGUUAAAUAUAUAUGGAAUAUAUCAAAAAGUAUUAUUGGAAAAGAACAAAUAAAUCAAACACAUCCUGAUCACUUUACAGAUAAGGGAAGACAAAUUAUUCCAGUGAACCUAACCUAUUCCUCAACCUAACAAAGGCAGCAUUUCUCCUUCUCAGCCAAUCAAAUGCAGCGUUCUUUAACCGUUCUGUUGCAAAACCACUGGUGUUCUUGGGCUCCUUGUCUUCCUCCAUGACCCAGUUUCUCUUCACAUUCAGCUCAUGGACUCAUGUCCUGACAUUUUCUUUCAGAGUUCACUGGUAGAAUUCACAAUUUACUGGUCCAUCUAUGAUGACAAGCCGUCAUGGUCCAGAAGCAGGAAACACAUCUGCACAGGGCACAUGUGUUUUCUACUUCUUAUCCAUGGGAGGUUACAUCGUUCAUUCCUUUCAGUUAUCUGUCUUGCUCCCAGGCCCUUAAAUAACACAAGAUGCAACAUUCUUAGCAGCUUCUAGUUCAUGUGUAUUAUUUGGAUGAAAAAUGUCCAUUACAAUCCCCAAUCUAUCACACAAACUUUAAAUCAACAUGAAUCAAACACAAUGAGAAAGGAUGAUGUGAUGGAAAAGUGCUCAAGUGACCUUUUAGCCUACAUGAGUUCAUAACAAGUUAAAAUAAUUUCAGCACAGGUUCAUCGAAAGUUCAUAAUAAAUGUGAUAUUACCUUGCAUCUUCUAUGUGCAGACAUGCAGGCUGAAGACCUUUAGUUGUCAUGCUUGACCUCGCUUGCACUUCCUCUUGAUCUGCUCCUCCUGUCUAAGAAGUAAGACUUGAGAGGUGGAAAGUUGAUGGAAAGGAUGCACUCACAUAUUCUGUAUAAUCAUCAUUUUAAGAUUUUUGUGCAUUGCUCCAACAAAAUGUGAAUAUGGUGGAGAGUCAGAGUUGUUUCCUGUUGUACACAGAGCUGCUCUCCCCGGGUAAGAAUAAACCUUGCUUCUCAUAUACAA